AAUAUUGUUUCCAAAGCCUCCAAUUCUAGCGUCCAACCUUGCCCAGGAAUUAGAAGGAUCAAUUCUUGUAUUAGUGGUGAUAGCUCUGCUGUAAGCUGAUGUUCUUCCCUUAACCUUGGUAGAAUUCCAGUGGGAAUUUGUCUAUUACAUCUGGGGGGACUGCUUGCUUUUUCUUCUCACUGAUCUGUUUUUCUUAUCAGCAUUUGCCAUGCACCAGCAAUGUUAUAUUUUUUCUUUCUGCAGAACACCAAGCUCUGUUCUGAAAUGUAUGUAUUUUAUGCUCUACUGAGAUCUUGUCUGUGACAAAUGCCAGCUGACAAAUUCCACGUUCAGCACUUGGGAUGCACGUGGCAGGAUGGGGACUGUGAGAAGAGGAGAUUUUCUCUUCGGUGGCAUUAAUUACAGGUCGAUCUUCUCCCAUUCUGCAUGCUGUGCAUGGAGGAGAAAAUCUGGCCGAUCUUGCUUAACUAAAUCACAACUUGGACCAUAGGCCUGGAAUCAGGAUCCAUUUGGAUGCUUUAACCUCCAGUGAAUAGCGAAUAGAAUAUGCUGAUGUUAUGCAGUGCAAAAUAAAACAAUAUGUGUAAUGAGCUGAUUUAAAAUG
Molecule: long non-coding RNA, 604 nt
Filed under: Numida meleagris (helmeted guineafowl)
Lineage: Eukaryota; Metazoa; Chordata; Aves; Galliformes; Numididae
Description: lncRNA (ENSNMEG00000018050.1)
Source: RNAcentral